This 422-nucleotide ribosomal RNA is filed under the name uncultured bacterium. RNAcentral describes it as "partial 16S ribosomal RNA". It matches the Rfam family "Bacterial small subunit ribosomal RNA", at positions 360 to 774 of the family's 1533-position model. The record is from RNAcentral.
AAUAUUGGACAAUGGGGGCAACCCUGAGCCAGCGAUGCCGCGUGUGUGAAGAAGGUCUUCGGAUUGUAAAGCACUUUAAGUUGGGAGGAAGGGCUUUAGGUUGAUACCCUGAAGUAUUGACGUUCCCCAAAGAAUAAGCACCGGCUAACUCUGUGCCAGCAGCCACGGUAAUACAGAGGGUGCAAGCGUUAAUCGGAAUUACUGGUCGUAAAGCGCGCGUAGGUGGUUCAGUAAGAUGGGUGUGAAAUCCCCGGGCUUAACCUGGGAACUGCUUUCAUAACUGCUGAGCUAGAGUACGGUAGAGGGUAGUGGAAUUUCCUGUGUAGCGGUGAAAUGCGUAGAUAUAGGAAGGAACACCAGUGGCGAAGGCGACUACCUGGACUGAUACUGACACUGAGGUGCGAAAGCGUGGGGAGCAAACA